RNAcentral lists this ribosomal RNA (247 nucleotides) under Vibrio aestuarianus. RNAcentral's name for it is "partial 16S ribosomal RNA". It matches the Rfam family "Bacterial small subunit ribosomal RNA", at positions 1 to 242 of the family's 1533-position model. The record is from RNAcentral. Lineage: Bacteria; Pseudomonadati; Pseudomonadota; Gammaproteobacteria; Vibrionales; Vibrionaceae.
UAAUUGAAGAGUUUGAUCAUGGCUCAGAUUGAACGCUGGCGGCAGGCCUAACACAUGCAAGUCGAGCGGUAACAUUUCAAAAGCUUGCUUUUGAAGAUGACGAGCGGCGGACGGGUGAGUAAUGCCUAGGAAAUUGCCCUGAUGUGGGGGAUAACCAUUGGAAACGAUGGCUAAUACCGCAUGAUGCCUACGGGCCAAAGAGGGGGACCUUCGGGCCUCUCGCGUCAGGAUAUGCCUAGGUGGGAUU